CCUACGGGUGGCUGCAGUGGGGGAUAUUGCACAAUGGGGGGAACCCUGAUGCAGCGACGCCGCGUGUGGGAAGACGGUCCUCUGGAUUGUAAACCACUGUCCCCAGGGACGAAAAUGACGGUACCUGGGGAGGAAGCUCCGGCUAACGACGUGCCAGCAGCCGCGGUAAUACGUAGGGAGCGAGCGUUGUCCGGAAUUACUGGGUGUAAAGGGAGCGUAGGCGGGGAUGCAAGUUGGUUGUAAAAACUACCGGCUCAACUGGUAGUCGCACUCAAAACUGCAGCUCUUGAGUGAAGUAGAGGCAGGCGGAAUUCCUAGUGUAGCGGUGAAAUGCGUAGAUAUUAGGAGGAACACCAGUGGCGAAGGCGGCCUGCUGGGCUUUUACUGACGCUGAGGCUCGAAAGUGUGGGGAGCAAACAGGAUUAGAUACCCUUGUAGUC
RNAcentral lists this ribosomal RNA (440 nucleotides) under uncultured bacterium. RNAcentral's name for it is "partial 16S ribosomal RNA". It matches the Rfam family "Bacterial small subunit ribosomal RNA", at positions 338 to 795 of the family's 1533-position model. The record is from RNAcentral.